This 1223-nucleotide long non-coding RNA is filed under the name Pogona vitticeps (central bearded dragon). RNAcentral describes it as "lncRNA (ENSPVIG00000025546.1)". The record is from RNAcentral. Lineage: Eukaryota; Metazoa; Chordata; Lepidosauria; Squamata; Agamidae.
UAAAGUAGAUGCCACCACUAGGCAGACACUGACACAAACAUCACUAAAACUGCUGUUACUGAUGUAAUUUUUAUUCAAAACAUUUCCCUUUCCUUUAACAGUCAGGCAACCAAGCUGAAAUGCUGUUCUUUACACACAACAGAAUUCUGGCAAAUGAUCCAAAGAUACGAAUAAACAGAACUCAGAAGACUGACCAUACUGUUAUUCUCUCUUCAUGAGUAAUAGUCCUCCUGACAUCAUCACAAAGCACAUUUCCCACUUCCAAAUGGUUGGGAUUCUUCAUAUAUCAGAUGAGAAUUGCUGGCUGGCUGAUUUGCAUACCAUCUAUGUGACUGUUCAUCACCUAACAAAGCUUUCAUCAUACAAUCUUCUGGGGUCCUGGUGUGUUCCUCAUCAACCUACUGAGUCAUCAAGAACUCCAUAUUGUAGAUUUGUUAACAUGAAUUCAUUACAUCUUUGUACCCUGCAAAAAGGCUUGUAUUAACUCACUAAGGUCAGAAAAGAACCUUGAUCUGACUCUGAUUAAACCAAAUCUUUUCCUUUCCUCCCGCCCCCACCCCUUCACUGGAUUGUUCACACAAUACUGAGCUACAGUCAGCUCAGCUGCCUUUUAUACUUGAUCCAAUUAGAAGAGAUUGUCAGGGAGGAAUUAGGACUUUUAAGCUUUUCAGCAAAGCUCAGAUAGUAAUUAGUUUUCCAUUCUUCUUGCUUUUCUUUAAUAGGGAGGAAUGUUGAGACUGGAAGCCCCAGAGAAUGCAUGAAAGAGUAAUUUUUCUGUUUGUGGAAGUAUAGAUAAAGUAGUAGGUGUUCUCUCAUACAGUUCACAGAGCAAGCCAGGAUGUCUGUGGAAAUAUCUAGAAUUUAUGACAGAAAAUAUACCAUGUCCUAAGCAUCUAAUGGAAAAGGAUGGGGAGAACAGACUUUUGAAGACUAAGGAAAUGAAGUGAUGAUGGUGUAUUUGAGGCACAUACCACUUACAAAUUUAUUUUCCUUUCUCUAAUCCAAGGAACCACAGCCUGAGGAGAGAAACCCCUUGCAAAUGUAUAGUUUUCAAAGGAGAGUGAAUGGCUAUUAAGCCAACGUCAGUCCAGUUAAAAGACAAGCCAUAGACAAGCAUCUCUGAGGACAGAUAUGCAGAUUGUCCACAACAAAAAUUCAUGAAAAAUGAGUCUACACAGAAAACUUUAGCAAAAUAUGAGCGGUGAGAUAAGAUGAUGAGUGAG